GGGGGAAAUACUUCUGUGUAUGUUUAUAAAUAAAGUACUUGCUUGGCCAAUGAGACAGCAGGUUAGGCUGGACUAGGAGUCAAAGAGGAUUCUGGGAAAUGUAGUAGAGAAGUAGUGUUCCAGACAGGAAGUGACAUAGCAAGGAGACUCAUAUUUAAGAAGAGGAAAAAGGAAGUGUUGCUCUCUUUCCCCUCGGCUCCUGCUCCAUCCUGCUCCAUCCUGCUCCAGCGGCAAGAUGUGAUCCACCAGCUAGGAGGGACGCCAAUAAGGCGUCCGAUAAGGUGAUACAAAAGGAUACAUUACCAUUAAGCCCCAAAUGGUUUCUUAAGAGUGUCUUUUGUUUGUGUAAGGAGAAUCUUCGUUCUUGGUUUUAUUCUCACAGCUACCUUAUUACUCCAGCAUCCAUGCCCUCUGUUCGGAAACUCUCACGCAGCUGGGUUGCAGUUCAUGUGCUCUGUGCUUCCUUUAUCUUCUGUAUAAUACAAUUUGCUGUGUAUGUACUUGCUUCAACGACAUGUGAAGCACUUCACACUGGAGUAUUGCAAACCUUGAGCUGA
This 557-nucleotide long non-coding RNA is filed under the name Cricetulus griseus (Chinese hamster). RNAcentral describes it as "lncRNA (ENSCGRG00000026388.1)". The record is from RNAcentral. Lineage: Eukaryota; Metazoa; Chordata; Mammalia; Rodentia; Cricetidae.